UUCUAAGAGGCGCUUCAGCCUUCCCCGGGAGGGUUAAUUGGCAGAGACGAGAGUUCAAAGCAGCCCCAGAGUUGAAUUCACUCGCUCCUGAUGCAUUCGGAGUUUAGCGCCACCAACGAAAACAAAACGGAUAUAAACAAGAGUGAGCAGUUCAGUACAAAUAAUAAUUUCGCUUUAAGACUUCUUUUAUUUUUUCUUGUUUUUAAAAUAUUAAAAUAACGUACCUGCUCUUUGUUUUCGUUUAAAAAACCCUCAAAUCGUACAGAAGGAUAGGAAGUAAAAACGUAACCAUGCUCUUUAAUACAAAAUGUUUAAAAAGAGAAACCACUUUUAAUAGUUUGCAGGUAUCCUGAGACCUCUGGUUUUCCAACCACAAUGAACUCCCCCUGAUGCCCAGACAUACCAAUUAGAAAAUCAGAAAUAGGGCUCGGAGCCUCAUAGAGGAAGGUGAGGGCGUCCUUGACAUGCCUUUGUUGAUUUGCUGCUGUUCCCAAGUAGAAAUAAAUAUUAGGAUGUUUGAGGACAUCUGGAGGAGGGAAAGGUGAGAGGAGCUGCAGCUGCUGCUCAAGGCCACAGCCAAAGGGGUUCCUGGACCAGUACAGACCACGGGGAGUCCUGCUCCUCAAGCUCCCCCCUCUCCUCCCUACCUGUCGGACCCUCCCUUCGACAGUCUUUGACGGGAGCCCCCAGGGGGAGAUGCUACAUUUAUUUUUCCUGCCUCCAAUCCCCCGCCUCCCGGCUGAUGACUCAGCACAGGUUAUUUCACUUUUUGGUUCUCAGCUGUGCUGUGUCAAGCAGAAAAGAUAAACAUUUUAUAUUCCUGAAGGCAGGGGGCUUAUGGAAAGAAUGCACGCAGGAUGCCCAGCAUUACCCUGGCCCUUGAGGGAGAAACUGGCAUCAGAAAUUCAAGACCCAUUCUUAGAGGGAUCAGACAAUGGUGGUCCUCACUGUAAAAUGCUUUGCUGCCCCGCAUCGCUGCAGAAUGGAGUCUGGGACCCUUCGAAGCCCCGUUCCCCACGGCCAGCCCAGACAGAGCUGCCCCUGGCACGCAGGCAGUAUGUGAGCUUCUUGUAACUUCUCUUGCAGGACCUGCUGCUGUAUACCUCCAUCUGGAUUUGAUCAGCCUGGUGGCGGGGAGUGACGUUUCUGGGUGCUAACAGGCUGGAGUCUGGUGGCUGCUGAACGGUCUAGACAGGGCCUGUAUUUCCAGUUCACACAAUCCCCAGGAGACAGUGUCUGCCCUGGCAUUUCCUCCCAGGCUGUGCUUCUCUCUUAUGUUAUCUGCCCGGAGCCUGAAGACUUUGAGUUUGAGGUCACUGACCAUCCUGCCCACUGCCAGCACAUGGACCAAACUUAAUACCCACACCCGCUGAAAUGAGAACAGGCCUCUCCUUGAGGGCCACACCAAGCUCCUCACCCCUGGUCUCCAGCCUCAGAAGCCAGAAGAACAAUGUGGAUGGCUGGACAAUGAUGAUGGUCUUCUGGAAACUCCAGGCCUGGAGCAGGGGCCUCUGCCUGGGCCCCCUGUUCCCCAGCAUCUCUCUCCCUCCCUGCCCCCCACUCCUCUCCCUUCUACCCUCUACCCAUCCCUGCUCCUGUCCCCAUCUGCCCUCUCCCAGCAGAAUCCAGACAGCGCACCACAAUUAUCCCCAAAUUGACCCUCCAUCAAAUUCACCUGAAGCUGGGGUCAGACUGCUUUCCCAUUAGUGCCCCCUUUCCAUCAUCGUCCUGCAUGGCAGGAGCUGAGAGCCUGCUACUUAAGAGCUGCACGCACCAGCUGCAGCCUUGCCCUUCUAAGCAUCCUUUUCUCCAGGUUGUCUUUUUUCUUCCUCUGGGCUGUUCCUUGACACUUCCUCCUGUUCCCCCAAUUCCUACAGGUAAUUGAAGGCUACAGAGGUAUCAUUUGAGUGACUCUGAAGAUGGUGCCAGCUCUCAAGACCACCCACGUCACUCCUCUUGGAAGACAGCAGCCCCGUGGCGGGGACUGAGAGCAGUUCACAGCACUGGAGGCCAAGCACUGCAACUUCAGGGUGUGGUUCUCAAACUCGAGCGUGCAGCAGAAACACCUGGAGGGCUUGUUAAAACACAGAUGCUGGGCCCUACCCCGCAGUCUUUGAUUCAGGAGGUCUGGGGUGAGGCAGGAGAAUUUGCACUUCUGACAAGCUCCCAAGUCAUGCUGAGCUGCUGGUCCAGGGAACACACUUUGAGAACCACCAAUUUCACUGUCUGCCAGAGAACUCGAGGCUGAGAGAGUCUUCUUCAGACACCCCCCACCAACCUCGUGGAGGAGAGACCCUCCCUGCAGGAAGCAUGGCUGAUGAGUGGAGUAGGGCCGCAUCUGGGAUCUGAACCUGUGAACCCAGGCCUCCCAAGCAGAAAGUGUGGAACCUUAACCACUUGGCCACAGGCCCAGCCCCGAAGAGACCUGCCCUCAGGGUAAAGGAGCACCUCCUGGCCUGGGAGCUUUAAAGGCUCCUCUCCUGCUGGGGAGCAGCCCAACGCCAAUGACUAGUGACUUGGGAUACAGAAGCUGGGCCUCUUACAGGCUCCCCCCAGGACAAGGCUGAGACUGGACUCCAGCGAGAUAAUCUCCUUCCUUGCUGACCUCCUUCCUGGCUGGGCCUGCUUCCCUCAGUCCUGAGAGCACUGCCCUAAUCAAUCGUGUGUGCCAAAUCCUCGUCUCAGGUUCUGCUUCUCAUGAACCCAGACAUCCAUCUCCCGCCCCUACCACCAGCAUGAACAAACUACGAAUGGGGAGAGGGCUCUUCAGCACUCCUAACGGUUCUGGGGAUAAGGAAUAUUCAAGGAUGAUGAUGAUGAUGAUAGAUAUUUGUUGAUUUCCAUGGGGGCUCUGUGCUUCACUGUGAUGCCCCCUAACUCCAGCUGGUCAUCAAAGAAUUCACACCUUGGUUGUGCAGAAAAGGGAGGGCUUGAGGCUGAGACAAUUCAUCUCUCUCUACCUUCAUGUGAGGUACUUACCACAUUGUCAGCACUGCUCUAAGCUCU
Molecule: long non-coding RNA, 3006 nt
Organism: Equus asinus (donkey)
Lineage: Eukaryota; Metazoa; Chordata; Mammalia; Perissodactyla; Equidae
Source: Ensembl